This 982-nucleotide ribosomal RNA is filed under the name Rossellomorea vietnamensis. RNAcentral describes it as "bacterial SSU rRNA". It matches the Rfam family "Bacterial small subunit ribosomal RNA", at positions 51 to 1013 of the family's 1533-position model. Lineage: Bacteria; Bacillati; Bacillota; Bacilli; Caryophanales; Bacillaceae. The record is from RNAcentral.
AUACAUGCAAGUCGAGCGGAUUGAUGGGAGCUUGCUCCCUGAUAUCAGCGGCGGACGGGUGAGUAACACGUGGGUAACCUGCCUGUAAGACUGGGAUAACUCCGGGAAACCGGGGCUAAUACCGGAUAACUCAUUUCCUCGCAUGAGGAAAUGUUGAAAGGUGGCUUUUAGCUACCACUUACAGAUGGACCCGCGGCGCAUUAGCUAGUUGGUGAGGUAACGGCUCACCAAGGCAACGAUGCGUAGCCGACCUGAGAGGGUGAUCGGCCACACUGGGACUGAGACACGGCCCAAACUCCUACGGGAGGCAGCAGUAGGGAAUCUUCCGCAAUGGACGAAAGUCUGACGGAGCAACGCCGCGUGAGUGAUGAAGGUUUUCGGAUCGUAAAGCUCUGUUGUUAGGGAAGAACAAGUGCCGUUCGAAUAGGGCGGCACCUUGACGGUACCUAACCAGAAAGCCACGGCUAACUACGUGCCAGCAGCCGCGGUAAUACGUAGGUGGCAAGCGUUGUCCGGAAUUAUUGGGCGUAAAGCGCGCGCAGGUGGUUCCUUAAGUCUGAUGUGAAAGCCCACGGCUCAACCGUGGAGGGUCAUUGGAAACUGGGGAACUUGAGUGCAGAAGAGGAAAGUGGAAUUCCAAGUGUAGCGGUGAAAUGCGUAGAUAUUUGGAGGAACACCAGUGGCGAAGGCGACUUUCUGGUCUGUAACUGACACUGAGGCGCGAAAGCGUGAGGAGCAAACAGGAUUAGAUACCCUGGUAGUCCACGCCGUAAACGAUGAGUGCUAAGUGUUAGGGGGUUUCCGCCCCUUAGUGCUGCAGCUAACGCAUUAAGCACUCCGCCUGGGGAGUACGGUCGCAAGACUGAAACUCAAAGGAAUUGACGGGGGCCCGCACAAGCGGUGAGCAUGUGGUUUAAUUUCGAAGCAACGCGAAGAACCUUACCAGGUCUUGACAUCCUCUGACAACCCUAGAGAUAGGGCU